Molecule: long non-coding RNA, 3364 nt
Organism: Arvicola amphibius (Eurasian water vole)
Lineage: Eukaryota; Metazoa; Chordata; Mammalia; Rodentia; Cricetidae
Exons: 3
Source: RefSeq, a predicted model, not a curated record
UCUGCUGCUCUGCGUUGCCGGCAAUUCCAGAGGCAGGCUUGCUUCCCUUGCAGGAACCAGUGGGCAUGCGGCCUGUUUUGACCCAGGCUAACUUUCUGUGUGUCCUUCUGGCUGUCUCUAUCCUGUUUCCCUCUCUACCCUCUUGCUCUGUCUCCCUGCCCAACAGGUUUAAGCUAGUCUGGGGAAGAACUAUAAAUCCUCUGGAGUAUAGCCCUGGCUUCCUGGCCAGGGACUCUAUCUGCCAGUCAACCCAGCUUCCUAAAGACACCUCAGCAAGCUGGAUAGUAUCUGUGGAGACAAGCUCAGCUGGGCGUCACUGCUCGGCUGGCUGACGAGCUCAGGAGAAACAAUAAAUUGCUGUUUUUCAUCAGGUUUUGAGGUGAACUCACUGGGCUAAUGGCACACAGAUGUCCACGAGGACACAACACUAAGAACCAAACAAACAUGGAUGACGAAAGCAGCAGCAUCAGAACACAGGCAGCUCCGAGAAGACUUGACUUGUGAGCAGCAUCUGAUAUCCGGAGUUAUCACACUCUAAAAAUUCCAAAUGUCUGGGUUUUGUAAAAUUUGCUUUUAUUUAUGUGUGUGUGCAUGCACACGAUGGUAUGUGUGUAGAUACUAGUGGAGGCCAGAAGUGAACGUUGGAUCUCCUGGAGGGUGUUACAGGCAGUGGAAGCAGCCAAGAAGCAGUCAAGUGAAUGCCGCCUGAUCUGUGACGCGUCCCAAAGUCCCUGUACUGAGACACUCAGCACACAGGUGCCGCCUCAGUGAGUUACUUUAAAUUCAUCCAAAGUCUGUUACUUCAUCUUUAGAUGGAUUUUGUUUUUAAUGACUGGUUUUCCUGUCAGCGAGUCGUUUCCCCACCCUGUCCCAUUUCUUGUCCUAUCUUGAUGCUGUAUCCAUUGGGCAGGAAGUAUUCAGGAAUUCCACUGUCCUCGUGAAAUCCGGCUCAAUCACAAACUCAGAAAAUUCAUGGCAUUCACCCUAGAAUUUGAGGGCCAAAGAUCAAGAUUAUUGAAGUAACAGCUGCUCCCACGGGUUGUUUGUGCUUUCUGGAUAAUAACUUUUCACUUCUCUUUUAAGGCAUUGCUUUAGAAGCAGAGAUUUGAAAUUUUCACAUGAUUCACUGAUGACAAAACACAUCAUUUAAGCUGCGGGCUUGGAGAAGCUGUAGUAAGGCCAGUGUUAAAGACUCAAGACUGUAAGACAGUUUAGAAGAGGCUUCCACCUGCAGCCAAAUGUUCUGAAGCAGAAUUCCAGAGCUGUUAGCAAUAUUAUUUAGCACAUAGAUAACUCUUUGUGGACAGUAACCAUUAAUCAAUGGCAUCCUCCAUUUUGGAUAAUGCUUUAAGAUUUCUGGAGAGGUGAAAGGGGUAUUCAAGCUCACAGCCCGAGUUUUUUCUUCAGUCAGAUUGAUGCAUGCAGGUUUUCUGAGUCAAUCCCUAUCACAUUCCGUAAAGACAGGACCCGAUUUUUGUGCCAAUUUUUUUUUUUAUGCAACAACUUGAAUACACAAUGUCUUUUAAGCUCUGCUUGCAAUCCUCAGGUUGUUUACAGAAGACCUUGUGGAAAGGAGUCUCAAAUCAUAGGCUGCGUUCCUCGCACACACCUCCAGUCUGUGGAAUCUGUGGUGGAUUGCCAAACACCUCUGCGUCUCAUUUUCUUCGUUUAAGUAUAGAAUAGACCUCUGAUUUUCAACUGAUGGAAAUGUUGAGAGUUAACUUAAUAAUGUGUAGAUAAUCACAGCUACAAAUUGAUCAUCUUUUGAAAAAACCCUUAUAUGCCAAUAUUCAAAUCAGCAGCAGUUUAUUCUUAAUGUAAUUUGUAAUUACAUUAAUAUAAAAUGAAUUCUUUUCAUUUACUUACUCAAAGACACUGUAUUGAAUUCCUGCAAGGCAAAUUGCUUCAUGAAGUGAUAAUCAAAAAUAGUUCAUUAUCGUGUCUGCACGGAAGCUAGCUUUCAAGAAACUAAUCAGCAAAUCCAUCCACAACACAAGGUACAGAUUCUAGUGGGAUGAUGUUCAUGGAGAAAAACAAAGGAAGAUGCAGAGAGAGGAGGCUUGCUCCUCUCUAAAGAACACCCAGUAUGAUGUUCAUACAAAUGCACACACACACGAUCUUUCAAAUUGAUGGCAUUUAGCAGAGCAACAACAAUGGAAGCUAGGUUUAAGGUGUAUUUUGGCAUGGUUGAAAUGCGUAGUAAGACACUGAUUUUAAGGCCAGAAAGGGAGUUUAGGUUGGUGUUGUCUGCAUGGUGAGCUAUUAAAAAUCAUGAUGGAGGAUGUCAUUUCCUAGAGAAGUGUAGAAAGAGGAGGAUGCAGGAAAGCCCAGAGGUACUACAGUCCAUCAUGGGCAAUAGAAAGAAAGAGGGAAGAAGGCCAAAAAGAACGAUGAUGGCUCUGGAAAACUGGGCAAAGCAGUAUUGCAAGGAGGAAGAAGGGGAACCCCAUGUGCCAUGCCUCUGGGCAGUAGGGUGAGGGCAACAUCUGACCAUGCCAAUGGCAAGGUCAAUCUGUGCCUGUGGGAUUAGUUGAGUGGUCUUCCCAAGGCCGGGUCCUCCUGUUUACACAAGCCGACCCCUGGUUUCCGAGGCUGAAGUCAGCAGUUUAGUGGAGCCAGAUGAAACCAGUUGGAACCGAAUGGAGCCAGCUGGAACUGGAUGGAGCCACUUGGAGGUGCAUAAAGCCUCUCUGUGGCUCACCUGCAUGUCUGUCCCCAGGUACCAACACACAGGGAGAACAGGAAAAUAGAUGUAAACUUUGUCUUUUCUACUUCGGAUCUGUCACCCAUUCUGCAACCAGAAUUAAUUCCUCAAAACAAAAACCUAACAAUGUUUUCCCAGUUUAAAAAAAAAAAAAAACCUUCUGUUCUUACUUCUUUCAUGAUAAGAAUGCAAAGCCUUACCCUAGUCUCCAAAACAAUGUCCUGCAAACCCAGACACAAGGCGUUGCCUCAGCUUCUGACACUUCAGGCCUGGGGACUGUAUUCCAUUCCCUGAGAGGAUACCUCAGAACUGCAACUUCACAAUCUUGUGUGAGUCCAGGGCAAUAAGGGUCUCCAUUGACAAUGACGAUCUCUGUGACUAAGUGUAGAAAUCAGGUAUUUGCUGCUGAUAAAACAACCACAAAUAUUCUUCAAAUAAUAGUUAGGUAUGUAAUUAUUUUAUCACUUUUUAAAAUUUUAAUUAAAAUAUGAUUAAAUUAUUUACCCCCUCCACAUCCUCUUCUUCUAUGCUGCUCUCCCUAUUCCAUGACUUUCUUUUUUAUUAUUAUUAUUGAUUUUCAUUGAGCGCUAUAUUUUUCUUGGCUCCCCUCCCUUUUUCUCCCCUCCCCCUCAACCCUCUCUCAAGGUCCCCAUGCUCCCA